This 1449-nucleotide ribosomal RNA is filed under the name Bacillus pumilus. RNAcentral's name for it is "bacterial SSU rRNA". It matches the Rfam family "Bacterial small subunit ribosomal RNA". The record is from RNAcentral. Lineage: Bacteria; Bacillati; Bacillota; Bacilli; Caryophanales; Bacillaceae.
GGCAUGCGGCGUGCUAUAAUGCAGUCGAGCGGACAGAAGGGAGCUUGCUCCCGGAUGUUAGCGGCGGACGGGUGAGUAACACGUGGGUAACCUGCCUGUAAGACUGGGAUAACUCCGGGAAACCGGAGCUAAUACCGGAUAGUUCCUUGAACCGCAUGGUUCAAGGAUGAAAGACGGUUUCGGCUGUCACUUACAGAUGGACCCGCGGCGCAUUAGCUAGUUGGUGGGGUAAUGGCUCACCAAGGCGACGAUGCGUAGCCGACCUGAGAGGGUGAUCGGCCACACUGGGACUGAAACACGGCCCAGACUCCUACGGGAGGCAGCAGUAGGGAAUCUUCCGCAAUGGACGAAAGUCUGACGGAGCAACGCCGCGUGAGUGAUGAAGGUUUUCGGAUCGUAAAGCUCUGUUGUUAGGGAAGAACAAGUGCGAGAGUAACUGCUCGCACCUUGACGGUACCUAACCAGAAAGCCACGGCUAACUACGUGCCAGCAGCCGCGGUAAUACGUAGGUGGCAAGCGUUGUCCGGAAUUAUUGGGCGUAAAGGGCUCGCAGGCGGUUUCUUAAGUCUGAUGUGAAAGCCCCCGGCUCAACCGGGGAGGGUCAUUGGAAACUGGGAAACUUGAGUGCAGAAGAGGAGAGUGGAAUUCCACGUGUAGCGGUGAAAUGCGUAGAGAUGUGGAGGAACACCAGUGGCGAAGGCGACUCUCUGGUCUGUAACUGACGCUGAGGAGCGAAAGCGUGGGGAGCGAACAGGAUUAGAUACCCUGGUAGUCCACGCCGUAAACGAUGAGUGCUAAGUGUUAGGGGGUUUCCGCCCCUUAGUGCUGCAGCUAACGCAUUAAGCACUCCGCCUGGGGAGUACGGUCGCAAGACUGAAACUCAAAGGAAUUGACGGGGGCCCGCACAAGCGGUGGAGCAUGUGGUUUAAUUCGAAGCAACGCGAAGAACCUUACCAGGUCUUGACAUCCUCUGACAACCCUAGAGAUAGGGCUUUCCCUUCGGGGACAGAGUGACAGGUGGUGCAUGGUUGUCGUCAGCUCGUGUCGUGAGAUGUUGGGUUAAGUCCCGCAACGAGCGCAACCCUUGAUCUUAGUUGCCAGCAUUCAGUUGGGCACUUUAAGGUGACUGCCGGUGACAAACCGGAGGAAGGUGGGGAUGACGUCAAAUCAUCAUGCCCCUUAUGACCUGGGCUACACACGUGCUACAAUGGACAGAACAAAGGGCUGCAAGACCGCAAGGUUUAGCCAAUCCCAUAAAUCUGUUCUCAGUUCGGAUCGCAGUUUGCAACUCGACUGCGUGAAGCUGGAAUCGCUAGUAAUCGCGGAUCAGCAUGCCGCGGUGAAUACGUUCCCGGGCCUUGUACACACCGCCCGUCACACCACGAGAGUUUGCAACACCCGAAGUCGGUGAGGUAACCUUUAUGGAGCCAGCCGCCGAACGUGGACAGU